AGGGCUCAUCUUUGGUCUUGCAAUCCCUGUAGGCACAAAACUUGAGGGUAAGCUCGCACUCUCCAGCAGCUGCGAGGCAUCCGCGCGGGCGAGGCUGCUCCGUUUCAUGAUGUGUCUCCACCUGUGAACUGCAGGGAAGUCAUAGUUUAGUACGUUUAGGUGAGGAAAAUUAGUCUGCUGAGGCGAAAUGCAAAGCAAGGGCUAGUGCGCGCAUAAUGCAUCCGCAAAGCAUGUUGUUCAUUGCAAGUAUGGAGUCCACAAUACAGCAAACUUUCUGGUAAAUAAGUAAAUAACACAUAUCUCAUUCAGUUCUGUAAUUCAUGUUGUGCAUAUGAUAUUUACAGAGUUAUAGGCCUUAGAGUUGAGCCCAAUCAUGAUCGCGCCUAUAACAUUCUCACAUGUGUGUCAAAUAAAGGUCGAGUCAAUUCGAGCUUUGGUCGAGCCCAACUCUGUUCCCUUUUAUUGGCAGGCAGGCCUCUAGUAUGGCAUAGUAUAGGGCUAUAGGCUACCAACAUCACCAAUUCACCAUGAUGUCUGUACGUUUUACUCAGGACAUUUAUUCACUCCAUUGUUUAUAUGAUACACUGAAAAAUUAGUGUUGAUAGUACUAAGUUUGAUGUGCUAUUCACCAUUGUGGCAAGAACUAUGGCUGAAUGAAAACGAUGUUAUGUGUGCUCAUUCUGGAUAUUAUGUCGAAACGUCUCCCUUUAUAUUCUUGUAAACUAAGAUCUGAGUUUGCAAACCCUACACAUGACAUGAUCCAACUAGUACUUGCGCAGAUAACUUAGACUUGCAAGGUUGGAGCUGGAUGCUGACUUAGUUUUCGUCUCAUUCACAAGGCUUGCGGUGGCGGCCGACGGCAGGUGAGGUGGCGGCCCUGCUUCUUGGCGGCAGGGUGGCGUGGUGGCGCGGGGUGGCCGGCGACGCGCCCCCGCCUAGAUCUGGGCCCUGCGGGCCCCAUCUGAAUUCUAGUGGGCCGGCACCCGGCGUGGUGGCGUUGUCUUCUGCGUGGUGGUGAGGAGGAGCAACUUGGACGGGGGGCGGCGUCGUCGACGGCAUGCUUGUUGCAGCGCGACGGCAGGAGCUUUACGGACGGGGGUCCCGGCCGGGCCUGUGGGCCCACAGGCCUGGUAUGCUAAUGUUAUUGCGUCUGGUCGGCUACCGUCAUUGACGGUGCAGGUUGAGCCUUUCCGCGUGCCGAUGAUGUUGUUGCUUCUAGUCCCGGCUCCUUUUCGUCGCUGUGCAGGUCGCUCCUUCCGGUGCCGUGGUGAGACGGCACGGGGGCUUCAAGAGCGUGUUGGUGCCGAGUGAAGGUCGGUUUGGUGGCAGGCUCCGGAGCGGUCGAGGUGUGGGUUGGGAUCGGAGAAAACACCUUUCGGCCCAGGCGACACCGAUGCGGUGACGUCUUUGGGUGUCGUCGAACCUUCCUGAAGGGCGUCGGAGCUACCCUUCCUCGCGCCUCGUCGCGUACCGGAGGAAACCCUUGACAGCAGUGUCGUCAUCGUCGCAUUCCUUCUUCGAGGUAUUGAUGGGUACAUGCGCUUUGCAGACUUAGAGAUUGGUGGGAGAUCCUUGGUGGGCGCAGCGAUCGUGGGUCUUUUGUGUUUUUGUCGAUCUGUCGGUGUCGGCAUUUGUUUCUCUUAUAUAUAUAUUAUUAUUUUUUUGGAUGUGACUGUGUUGUUUUCGUCUCAGCAUCUAUAAUUGGAUGUUUUGGUUGGCUGCUUUGUAAUAUAAAGCGGGAACCCUUUUAUGUCUUUAUUCACAAGGCUUGUUGAGUGCUAACUGACAUCCUAUCCUAAUUUACAGCUUAGAAUCUGUUGCCGCACCAGUUAACUCUAUCACUACAUAUGGGAGACUCAAAUCAAAUUGUAACCACACUCGUAUGCCUACCUGAAUUUUUUAUGGUACUUUACAUAUGGGAGAGCGAAAUGGAUGCUGCUGUGAUUUCUGCCAAAUGCCAUGUUUCUGGGCAAAUGUAGGAGGAUUCAACAGGAUUUCAGCCAUACCUCUAUGUUCAUCGGGCUGGACGGUGAAGACGAGCUGGAGCGCCGCGCGCUGUUGAAGGCCGCGAAGGGAGGAGUUUCCGGUCUGCCGCCUUGCGGCGUGGAUCGAGAUUGGUGAGGCUCCGGGAGAAAGGGGAUUUGGCUUCGGGGGCAGAAUGUGAGCUGUUGGGGAG
Molecule: long non-coding RNA, 2176 nt
Filed under: Hordeum vulgare
Lineage: Eukaryota; Viridiplantae; Streptophyta; Magnoliopsida; Poales; Poaceae
Description: long non-coding RNA (HVUL_LNC002309)
Source: RNAcentral